Molecule: long non-coding RNA, 102 nt
Organism: Ipomoea nil (Japanese morning glory)
Lineage: Eukaryota; Viridiplantae; Streptophyta; Magnoliopsida; Solanales; Convolvulaceae
Exons: 3
Source: RefSeq, a predicted model, not a curated record
UACCAACAACCUAACAAUCACCUUAAAUAACACUUCAUUGCUCCAUCUCCCUAUACAUUAUAACCCUGAAAUUCAAAACAUAUAAAUUUUAAGUCAGCUGAC